GGCUUCCUGGUAUUAUCUCAGACUGUUCUUACACUGACUGUUUAGAAAUUGGAGGCAAAGUAUACCUAUGCUAUGUUCACCUCAGCCAUGAUUGUUCUGCAUUGUGAAUUGGUAACAAAAAA
This 122-nucleotide small nucleolar RNA is filed under the name Castor canadensis (American beaver). Its description in RNAcentral is "Small nucleolar RNA SNORA51 (ENSCCNG00000004967.1)". It matches the Rfam family "Small nucleolar RNA SNORA51". Rfam says of the family: ACA51 is a member of the H/ACA class of snoRNA that guide the sites of modification of uridines to pseudouridines. Lineage: Eukaryota; Metazoa; Chordata; Mammalia; Rodentia; Castoridae. The record is from Rfam by way of RNAcentral.